CAACCUUCGCAACUUCUGUCUCCUGGGUUCUAGCGAUUCUCCUGCCUCAGCCUCAGAGUAGCUGGGAUUACAGGAUGCCACUGAUGUUGACAGCUAUUCUUUUAAAAUACUGAUAUUCAACAUGACAAUGCAUGUGACCUGCCAAGGAAUUGAGAAGCUGAAAGUACAGUGACAUGGUUAUGACAGGGCUGCAAAAGACAUGACUUGUAAUGUCAUUUCAAAGCUUUCUCUAAAAAUAAGUUGAAAAACACAAAAUGAAUUUGCAUUUUAUUCAGCCAAAAUGAGUAUCUCUU
RNAcentral lists this long non-coding RNA (293 nucleotides) under Homo sapiens (human). Its description in RNAcentral is "HSALNT0352520". Lineage: Eukaryota; Metazoa; Chordata; Mammalia; Primates; Hominidae. The record is from RNAcentral.